Mastomys coucha (southern multimammate mouse) is the source of this 424-nucleotide long non-coding RNA. RefSeq lists it as uncharacterized. The record is from RefSeq and is a predicted model, not a curated record. The transcript is spliced from 3 exons. NCBI's taxonomy places the organism in Eukaryota, Metazoa, Chordata, Mammalia, Rodentia, Muridae.
GGGGAGCUGAGUGAUGAAAAGAUCUACCACCAGUGCACUCUUGAAUUGGGGUGCGUGGGGGGCGGAGUGAACUCCAUUCCAAGCCACAGACACUUGCUUCUUGAUCAUGAUGUUUUGUGCAGGAAUAGAAGCCCUAAGAGAGUAGACAAAAUCAGUUGAAUGGGGGAUGCAGGGCUAGUCACAAUUUUGUACGGAGUGGUUGUGAAGGAUCUGGAAAAAUGAAAGAUUCUAUGACAUAAUGAAGAAGAUGUGCAAGAGGUGAGAGAUUCUGGAAGAAGAUAAAUUCAGACUGUUCUUUUAAAUUAAUUUCUGGCAGAACCCACUAUAUCCCCAAGAAUAUUCUCCCAGGGCUAGAUCUCACAAGCUAGAAAAUGUCCACCCGAUCUAGACAACAACAUUAAUAUAAACUUGUGUCACAUAGCAA